This 1968-nucleotide ribosomal RNA is filed under the name human gut metagenome. RNAcentral describes it as "bacterial LSU rRNA". It matches the Rfam family "Bacterial large subunit ribosomal RNA", at positions 1 to 1988 of the family's 2925-position model. The record is from RNAcentral.
GAAAGUAAGCAAGGGCGCAUGGCGGAUGCCUUGGCUCUCGGAGGCGAUGAAGGACGUGAUAAGCUGCGAUAAGCUUCGGGCAGGUGCAAAUAACCUUUGAUCCGAAGAUUUCCGAAUGGGACAACCCGUCAUUCUGAAGGAAUGACAUCUUGCAUAGCAAGAGGCUAACGCAGGGAACUGAAACAUCUUAGUACCUGCAGGAAAAGAAAAUAAACAAUGAUUCCCCCAGUAGUGGCGAGCGAACGGGGAACAGCCCAAACCAUCCAUGUUACGGCAUGGGUGGGGUUGUAGGACCACGCCGUGGCAAGAAAGUUGGUGAGCAGAAUGUUCUGGAAAGUACAGCCAUAGAGCAUGACAGCUGCGUAUGCGAAGCCAAGCGAAGCCUAGUGGUAUCCUGAGUAGCGCGGAGCACGAGGAAUUCUGCGUGAAUCUGCCGGGACCAUCCGGUAAGGCUAAAUACUCCCGAGAGACCGAUAGUGAACCAGUACUGUGAAGGAAAGGUGAAAAGCACUUCGAACAGAAGAGUGAAAUAGUUCCUGAAACCAUGUGCCUACAAGCGGUCGGAGCACCUUUUGGUGUGACGGCGUGCCUUUUGCAUAAUGAACCUACGAGUUACUUUUUCCGGCGAGGUUAAGGAUUUCAGAUCUGCAGCCGAAGCGAAAGCGAGUCUGAACAGGGCGUAUAGUCGGAAGGAGUAGACGCGAAACCAAGUGAUCUACCCUUGGGCAGGUUGAAGGAUGGGUAACACCAUCUGGAGGACCGAACCAAUAAGCGUUGAAAAGCUUCUGGAUGACCUGAGGGUGGGGGUGAAAGGCUAAUCAAACUUGGAGAUAGCUCGUACUCCCCGAAAUGCAUUUAGGUGCAGCCUUGGGAAUUACUACUGUGAGGUAGAGCGACUGAUAAGAUGCGAGGGCUUCACCGCCUAUCAAGUCUUGACAAACUCCGAAUGCGUGUCAGUUCUAUGUCAGGAGUGAGGGCAUGGGUGCUAAGGUCCAUGUCCUAAAGGAGAACAAUCCGGACCAACAGCUAAGGUCCCGAAAUGAAUACUAAGUUGAACUAACGAAGUCAGAUUGCUAAGACAGCUAGGAUGUUGGCUUGGAAGCAGCCAUUCAUUUAAAGAGUGCGUAACAGCUCACUAGUCGAGGAGUUUGGCGUGGAUAAUAAUCGGGCAUAAGUAUUCUACCGAAGCUUUGGGAUGAGAAAUCAUCGGUAGGGGAGCAUUCCACUCGGCGUCGAAGGUGAGGCGCGAGCCUUGCUGGAGCGUGUGGAAAAGCAAAUGUAGGUAUAAGUAACGAUAAGGCAGGCGAGAAACCUGCCCGCCGAAAGACUAAGGUUUCCUGAUCAACGCUAAUCGGAUCAGGGUAAGUCGGGUCCUAAGGCUCAGCCGAACGGCGAGGCCGAUGGCAGAACCGGUUAAUAUUCCGGUACUACCUGUGGGAGUGACGUGGAGACGGAGUCGUGACAGCGCCGCGGACUGACGGAAUAGUCCGUUGAAGGGUGUAGAUGCUGAUUGUUCCAGGCAAAUCCGGAGCAAGAGUCGAACCUGAUAGUAUGGAGCGUUCUUAGAACAAUCCAAUAGUGCGUGUAAUCAUACUUCCAAGAAAAUCCGCUAAACUUAAUCCUGCAGGUACCCGUACCGCAAACGGACACACGUAGUCGGGUUGAAUAUACUAAGGCGCUUGAGUGAUUCACGGUUAAGGAACUAGGCAAACUGACCCUGUAACUUCGGGAUAAAGGGUCCUCGCUUAACGGCGAGGCGCAGAGAAUAGGUCCAGGCAACUGUUUAACAAAAACACAGGGCUGUGCAAAAUUGAAAGAUGAAGUAUACAGCCUGACACCUGCCCGGUGCUGGAAGGUUAAGAGGAGAUGUCAUCGCAAGAGAAGCAUUGAAUUGAAGCCCCAGUAAACGGCGGCCGUAACUAUAACGGUCCUAAGGUAGCGAAAUUCCUUGUCGGGUAAGUUCCGACC